UGGUAGUUUGGUUCUGGUUAUCUUUGUUUGGUUAUUUGUCUGGUCGGUUAACACAUGGUAGUUUAGGCGAAGAAUGCGUAUGUUGGUUUCUCCUAUAGUCGGUAGUUUUUUGCUGCUUACAAACUGGGUCUCCCACCUUACAAUCAGAAAGCUUUUCGAUGACUGUUAAUAAUCUAUUUCAUAACUCCAGUGGACAGAGUUUAACCAUGCGCGACAGCCUGAUUAAGCUAUUGUAUAUAAGGGGAGUCCAACCAGGUGCCAGCAGUCGCGGUUAAACCUGAGUAACUCAAGUCAAGCGGGACAGUGCAAAAGGUGGUUAGACGUAACCCCCCCUACUAGCGCAAUUGUGCUAUGUGAGGGGACUUAUUUUUAUGAACGGAGUGGGAGGAUCUGGGGGGAUAAGAGUACAAUCUGGCUGACCCCCCCAAGAAACGGGACUUUCUUUCUCUAGGCUGAGGCCACGGAACCGGUAACAGGAGACAUGGAUUAGGUACCCAUUUAUUACCGACGCAAAUUUUGCUGCGGGCAGCUGCUUGGGUACUACGAGCGUGUGCUUAAAACUCAAAGAACUUGGCGGCUAGUUAACUACCUAGGGGAAUAUGCGCCUUAAUCCGAUGGUCCCCGUAGCAUCUUACUGUGCCUUGAAGGAGUUCAGCUGGUGUAUUGCCGUUGUCAGCUUGUAGUACGAGCGAAGAGAAACAGGCUCAAUGGAACUUCUGAUAAGUUCAGAUAGGGUCCUUGAAUUCAGGUCGAAAUGCUGCCUAUGGCUCAAGGGAGUGGGUGUUACAAUUUCAAAUUAAAAUUACGGAUUUCGGGAUGAAGUGCCCGGGCUGAAGGCGAACUUAGGAGUAAGGGAAGAUUAAUAUGCUCCUCUGAACGUGAUUCUAACUUUUGUACAAACUGCCCGUCGCUCUCGCCGAGAGGUGAGAUAAGUCGUAACAAGGUAGGGGUACCGGAAGGUGCGCCCUGA
This 970-nucleotide ribosomal RNA is filed under the name Placopecten magellanicus (sea scallop). RNAcentral describes it as "12S ribosomal RNA". It matches the Rfam family "Bacterial small subunit ribosomal RNA". The record is from RNAcentral. Lineage: Eukaryota; Metazoa; Mollusca; Bivalvia; Pectinida; Pectinidae.